AGUGGGAUUACUGGGUCAAAUGGUGGUUCCAUUCUACGUUUUCUGAGGAAUCUCCAUACUGCUUUCCAGAGUGCUUGCACCAAUUUGCAGUCCCAUUAGCAAU
This 103-nucleotide microRNA precursor is filed under the name Marmota monax (woodchuck). The record is from RNAcentral. Lineage: Eukaryota; Metazoa; Chordata; Mammalia; Rodentia; Sciuridae.